This is a long non-coding RNA of Gossypium arboreum, 1013 nucleotides long. RefSeq lists it as uncharacterized. The transcript is spliced from 3 exons. The record is from RefSeq and is a predicted model, not a curated record. NCBI's taxonomy places the organism in Eukaryota, Viridiplantae, Streptophyta, Magnoliopsida, Malvales, Malvaceae.
AUAUAAGUCGGUAAUUAGCCUCCAUUAAAAUGGUAGGCAGCAUGCGAGGGGGGGUUGGAAAAGGAGAAGGGUAGGUUGAGGCAGGGAAGCAUGCAGGGUGGUCUAAGGGUUUGGUUGUUGAAGUCCGUAAAUCUAACCCUCAUGCGCCUUCACGAGAAAAUCAUAACACAUUUCACCUCCAAUUUUCCUGGGGUUUCUUCUUUUUCUAUUUAUAACCGGUUGCAACUCAAAAUAUAAUCUUUGGCUGCUUUCUGAUUUUUGUAUCUUACCAUCUUUCCAUGCAUUUUCCCCUCCCACUAGGAAAAUAGUUGUAACUUGGAAUUGAUAGGAGAGGUCCGAUGCUUAUCAGUACAGCUCCGACGAUCGGCGGAAACAGCAUUGAUAGAAAGCUUCAUUUCUCCAGAUAUGAGUUCGGUUUCCCACAUGUCGCCAUGACACAAGUUCUGAGAAGAUUCUGCGGCUGCUGCCGCCGGUGCCACCAAAUUAUUAGGUUGCUGCUCUUCUGGGUGUUGAUUAACAAGCAAGUUUUCAUUAAUCAAUGAAUCUAGAAACGAGGAGAACAUAUCUUCAUUGCAAUUUUCCAUAUGAUCCCCUUCGUUUCCAUGGCUGCUUGGUUCCGCCAUGAUAAGAGUUGCACUUUCAGUGUUCUUCCAUUUCUCCAUGCUCUUAUCAACCUGUUGGUUUUGAGAUUGCUGCUGAUACCCAUGUUCCAGGCGAUGAAGGCGAAGAAUGAGAUCUUCUUCAUCGGGAGCAAUACGACCUCGUUUAACAGAGGGUCGGAGAUAAUUCAUCCACCGGAGACGACAACUCUUACCGCAUCGAAGCAAACCAGCUCGUUUAGGCAAAGUCCGCCAUCGUCCUUCGCCUUCCCUUUUGAUGUAGUUGGCUAACACUUCAUCUUCUUCGGGCGUCCAUGGUCCUCUCUUUAUCCCAACUUUGCUGCAACAAGGAGUACCCUUGCUGCUUGUUGAAUUACCGACUAAACUUGGGUUCUUCAUGAUUUCUUCAACUAU